CGGAUCGUAUUUUCAGUUCCACCCCGACCGAAACGGCCGCAGUGUCUGCCCGCCCGCCAAAUGCGCGAUUAUUACACGUCUGUCUGCGCUGCACGAUCAUAUCGUGAAAAUUAGUGACAAUGUAAUAUUGUGCAACGAUACAAUAGUGACAAUGUAAUGAAAAAUUGCUAAAACACUGCGCGCCACAAUUGGAUAAUUGAAAGUUUUGAUAAAUCGUCGCGAGUUAACGAACGGCAAAAAGGAAAUAGGUAAAAAAGAACAAACGAAUGAAGAAAAUGAAAAAUAAAAUAACGCCCAACGUAUAUUAUAAUGACGCGUGAAUAGUGGGUGUGCGUUGUUUAGAAGAAGAAGAAGAAGGAGAAGAAAAAAAGAAAGAAGGAAGAAGAGUUAAAAAAAAACAAAAAAAAAAAAAAAUUAACAAUAAAGAUCCGCAUCGGUACUCACACAUACACAAGGGCACAAACGCGUGUACGUAUGUACGAUAUGUGCGUGCUUACACGACGAUGAAACGGAAGACCGGAGGACAAUCGAUAGUGAAGGUGUAAAUAGUUGAGUGCGAAAAGUAGGAGGAGGGUAGUGACGGUGGUAGAAAGGCUACGCAUACACACACGAUUAUACGCACGCAUCUUGGCACAUGAAUAUCUAUACGUACGCGUGUGAUACGUAAAGGAGAAGGAGAAGAAGAAAAAAACAAAAAUAAAGUAAAAAAAAAAAAAAAAGAAAAAAGAAAAUAACUCCGGGAGACACACGCGGCGUUUGUGCGGUUUUAACUACUGCCGCGGCAGCCGCGCUUCUGACUUUUUUAUACACCUGACCGCGGUUCGGUAAGAAAAAAUAAAAUAAAACGUGGAAGAGAGGUAAAAACAAUAACGAGAAAUUCGGACGGAGUGUGGUUCGGAAGGGAAAAAAAUAAAAAUAAAAAAAAAAAUAAAAUAAAAACCAAAGAAACAAUAACAGUAGUGGUGGUGGUGGUUUUUUCUCUUUCGUUAAAUUAAUUGAUUAGUACAUUUUUCACGCUUACGAAUAAAUAUCACCUGUCACCUAUAAUAUAUAUAUACAUAUAUAUGUAUAUAUGUAUGUAUAUAUGCGAAGGUGUAAUAUACGCAAACGCUUCGAUCGCUGUACCUAAUUUAUUGUAAUCAUAUACAUACAAUAUGUCACGUAUAAUAUACACGCAAAAAGUGCCUUGACGAGAUUGAAAAUUAAUGAAUAAAAAACAGAAGUAAACUGGCGAUGGUAAAUAUAUCGGACGAUAUUGGUAAAACCAAGUGUUGAGCAUAAGUGAUGUUUGGACAAAAUAUGUAUUGUAAUUUUUAGAGAACUGUUGUACAUGAAAAGUAUUUCUAAUUCUCCGAUCGUGUCUUCAUUUUAUCUACGUUUCGCGCUAGUUUUUCUUCUUUCUCUAAUUGUUCUGUGAAACCAACGCAUACACACAUAUAUACAUAUAUGUAUUAUAUGCGUAUGUGUGUGUACACAUAUUGUGCAUAUAAUAUGAAAUUUGUAGCAAACUUUGCGGCACGUAAACAACUUCCUCUCGAUCAAUAUAAAUGAUAGCAUAAAGAGAGAGAGAGAGAGAGAGAGAGAGAGAAAGGGAGAGAGACAGGAGGUAUGAGAAAAUAAAAAAAAAAGUGAGAAAAAUGUCGGUACGUAAUAAUAACGAACUUUGUGUAAAAUGGAACGAUGUUGGUAAAAAUGACGAUGGCAAAAAUAUUAAAAUAAUUCGACGAGGAAGAGAAUAAGUGAUGGAAAAAAGAAUUGCACUAUGCGUUACGUGUAUGCAGCGUACAAUUGUCAAAGUGAAGUUGAUAUUGUGAGUGAGGAAGGGAAUGGGAAAGAAACCGGAGUGAAAAACGUGAAUUUUAACGUAAUGAUAAUAACAACAACAAUCACGAUUAGGCGAAAAAUUUAACGACGACAAAACGAAAGCAAAUGUCACUGUACGCAAAGUUAUCGCGGCGUUGGAAAAGUGGGUGAUGUGGGGAAAAAGGUCGGACGCAAAAGCGAGCAGGGAAAAAAAUAACGAAUUUCUCGUACCGUGGAAAUGGUAUCAAUUAAAUGCUUAAUAAAGCGACGGGAACAUCGGGCAAUUGGUGUAAAAAAAUUCAUCGACGACAACUGUUAUAAUCGCAUAAGUAUUGAUAAAAAUAAUAACAACAACAAUGAAGAUAAUAAACGCGGUUGUGUAAAAUAUCCGCGUACAGAGCUGAGAUUGAUCGUUAAAAAAUCGUUGCUCCCGGGGCGAUCGAUAAUAACAAUAAUAAUAACAACAACAACAACAACAAUAAUAAUAAUAAUAAUAACAAUAAUAGCAGUGAUAGUAAUACUGACAAAGCAAAUUGACGACGGUGAGAUUGCAGAAAAAUCAUCGUUAGCGGCGUGGUUUUUUUCACACAACGUAGCGAAAAAAUCUUCUCGUUACAUUAUUUUUGUCACGUUGCUAAAUCCGUACGGCGAACGGCAAACGCGGGAUUCUUGGCAAGGAGGAUCGGACGGAGGGGGAGGAGGAGGAGGAAGAGGAGGAGGAGGAGAAAAACCGAAGGGAAAAUCGGCGCCGAAGCCGGGGAUAAUAAGAAGCGAUUCCCCCCCCGGAAGUUAGGGGAAUGCCGGCCCAACGGAAGGAGGAAGAAGAAGAAGAAUCGUCUAGAAUGGUCAAAACUCGCCUGGUGCCACGGUGAAAAGUGUCGGAUGAAAAAUAAGGAUAAAGUAAGAGAGAGAGAGAAAGAGAGAGAGAGAAAAAAAAAACCACAACGCGUAUAAUUGAGUCACGCGUGAAUUUAAGUACUCGUAUAACGCGUUGCAAUUUUGCGAAUUAUGCAUCGGGUUGAAUAAUUUGUACGCGUUGUGCGGUACAAAGUUUCAAAGGGUCGACGUGGUUGCGUUGGUGGUGGUGGUGGUGGUGGUGGUGGUUCGUUUUAAUUACAAUCGACUUUGUUAUACGUCAUCCCUACCGCGUGUACUACAUAACUAAGUUACUGUAUAAGUAAUGCGAACAACGGACUUGUACAAGCAACACAAGCCGCGCUUAACGUUCAAUGCGAUAUUUAACCGUUCAAUUUUCCCAUUGAAAAGACCGAGGAGAACAAGUUUUAUAUCUCUUCUAAGCCGAGUGACGAGAUAGGAAGGAAAAUAAAAAAAAAAAAAAAGAAAUUUUUAAAUAAAAUAAAAUAAAACUUUUAACCACUUAAUUGCACGCUCGAGGAUGAAACAGAGGCAAAGAGAGAAAAAAGGAUGUAGAAAUAAUGGAUGAAACGCAUGUUUUGCGAAAAUAAUUAUACGAAGCUGCCUUCUUAUUUUAUUUCAAUUUAUCUCUGCAGUUUUGACGUAUAAACGAUAACGUUGGUAAUGAUAAUAAUGAUAACAACGAUGUGUCGCGGUGUUAUUUUGAAACGUGCUGUGAAAAUUGAAGGGAAAUCUGCACAAGUGGUAUAAUAACAGUAAUAAAAAUAACAACAACAACAAAAAUAAUAAUAAACCAAACGAACGAAAAUUAAAAGGAAAACAAAAGAGACGCCGACAAAAACGAUUUUAAAAGCAACAAAAAAAAAAAAAUAAUAACCAUAGAACGAUAAACAAAUGAGAAUAAUCGUACAUCGAUUAUUCAACGAAGGGAGAAAGAAAUACAUACAUUGAAACAAUUCGUGAUGUUGCGCGAUGUUUUGUAACGUAUACUUGUAAUACAUAACUUACGUGUACAUGAGAAUACGCUUGAAUUUAUAAUUUGUUCUUCUCGAAAUAAUCUAAUAUUAACAAAUACAGUAAUAAUAUAUUAAACGGGAUAUAUAAGCGUUGAUGAUUUGAAAGAGGAAAAAAAAAACAAUAAAUUAAAAGACGAAGAAGAAGAAUAAGAAAAAUUUGAUGCAAUAGUAACGAAAAUAAAUAUGCGCUACAAUCCAAUAUCGAUCCUAAGAAAUAAAUAAAAUAUCGCUUGAGUAUGAAUAAUCAACCUGUCAUAUGAUAGAAGUGAAAUGCGUAUAGUAAUAAUACUAAUAAUAUAUACUGCUGAAAUUUUUCAAACACCUGCGCUUAUAAUAUAAUGAAACGGCCUUAUAUUGUAGAAUCGUGAAAACAACUCUCUCUCUAUACAUGUGUAUACAUAUAUAGUAUUGUUAUAACGGACAGAAGCAGGGAGAGAGAAAGAUAAUCAAUAAAAAACUUGUAGUACUGCAAGCGAAGGGAAGAAAACGAAAGGAAAAUUAGAGAAAAAAACAAAAAAAAAACAAUCGGCCUGAAUUUGUCUGAGAUCGAAU
Molecule: long non-coding RNA, 4247 nt
Filed under: Neodiprion lecontei (redheaded pine sawfly)
Lineage: Eukaryota; Metazoa; Arthropoda; Insecta; Hymenoptera; Diprionidae
Description: uncharacterized LOC124294254
Source: RNAcentral